RNAcentral lists this long non-coding RNA (1029 nucleotides) under Homo sapiens (human). RNAcentral describes it as "long independently transcribed non-coding RNA 2507, transcript variant 5 (LINC02507)". The record is from RNAcentral. Lineage: Eukaryota; Metazoa; Chordata; Mammalia; Primates; Hominidae.
CUUUCCCCAAGGGUUCCGCAUUAGCCUAACCAAGACUUUCUCUGAGACUCUUAGUUAUUAUGAUGCUACUUCCACCAGCACCAGGGUUCUUGUUGCUAUCUGGCUGUUGAGUGAUUCAGUCCCACUGAGCAAUGUCAACCUGAUUGUCUUUCUUUGUUUUUAAGAAACAGGGUCUUGCUCUGCUGCCCAGGCUGGAGCACAGUAGUGUGAUCAUAGCUCACUACAGCCUUCAACUCCUGGGCCUUAGCAAUCCUCCUGCCUCAGCCUCCCAAGGAGCUAUGGCUGCAGGUAUCCGCCACCACUCAUUGACAGCCACUUCCAGUACUCACUGUCUUGGACACAGACUUGAGUAAAAGUACAGGGGCAAGAGGCCUGGAUGAAGAAAUACCCUCAGAAACUCCCACUCUUCUGGUUCCUGCUGAAGACUCCAGUAAUAAAAGUUAUUCAUACCUACCUCCACCAUCUUGGCUGGGAAGUCAAGGAUACAGGAAGAAGAUAGCAGCCCGCAACCCGGAAGAGGGCCCUCACCAGAACCUACCAUGCUGGCACCCAGACCUCAGACUUCCAGCCUCCAGAAAUACACCAUCUGGCUCUGUCACCCAGGCUGGAGUGCAGUGGCCUGGUCACAGUUCACUGCAGCUUCGACUUCCCUGGCUCAAGUGAUCCUCCCUCCUCACCCUACAGGCAUGCACCACCGUGCCCAGGAGCUCCCUCUGCUGCAGGAACUCAACGAUAGGGAGGAAGAGUCCAGAAAAGUAGGGCUGUCAGCACCUCUGUGAGCAGCCGACGAUCCACAGCGGAUGGAGUUUGGUGGUAAAGGUACUCACUUCCUGUCUCUCUGGUGAUGAUUUUGAGCAUGUUCUACAAAGUCUUUCAGAUGGUCCCAGUAGGUUGGAGCCCAGCUGCCCUCAGUGGUAACCUGCCCAUUAACGUAUCCUGUGUUGGUUUCCUUUCCUCCCCUACCUCACCUCCCCACUCCCCUUUCUAUGAUUCCUAGAGUCACCUCCCAAAUAAACUUUCACAUUUACA